This 465-nucleotide ribosomal RNA is filed under the name uncultured bacterium. Its description in RNAcentral is "bacterial SSU rRNA". It matches the Rfam family "Bacterial small subunit ribosomal RNA", at positions 338 to 795 of the family's 1533-position model. The record is from RNAcentral.
CCUACGGGAGGCUGCAGUAGGGAAUCUUCCGCAAUGGACGAAAGUCUGACGGAGCAACGCCGCGUGAGCGAAGAAGGUCUUCGGAUCGUAAAGCUCUGUUGUUAGGGAAGAACAAGUACCGGAGUAACUGACGGUACCUUGACGGUACCUAACCAGAAAGCCACGUCUAACUACGUGCCAGCAGCCGCGGUAACACGUAGGUGGCAAGCGUUGUCCGGAAUCAUUGGGCGUAAAGCGGGCGCAGGCGGUCCUUUAAGGCUGAUGUGAAAUCUUGCGGCUAAGCCGUAAGCGGUCAUUGGAAACUGGGGGACUUGAGUGCAGGAGAGGAAAGCGGAAUUCCAUGUGAAGCGGUGAAAUGCGUAGAAAUAUGGAGGAACACCAGUGGCGAAGGCGGGUUUCUGGACAGUAACUGACGCUGAGGCGCGAACGCGUGGGGAGCAAACAGGAUUAGAUACCCUAGUAGUC